RNAcentral lists this non-coding RNA (31 nucleotides) under Rattus norvegicus (Norway rat). Lineage: Eukaryota; Metazoa; Chordata; Mammalia; Rodentia; Muridae. The record is from RNAcentral.
UAGGCUUACUUAACGGCCUGUUGGCCAGAGC